UGAGAGGGGCACGGUAACCCCGUUAUAUUCUUACCUCAGUCGAAGAGGCAUGUAGGGUAACUCUCAAGGUACAACUUUAGAGUUCACUUCACGCCAAACCACCACGUGAGGGUGAACUCAGCCAACGGCAAGGAAUGACUAUGUUUUCAAAAUAAAAACAUGAUUUAUGCGUACAUGACUUUAUAACAGCCUUGACGGACUAGGUUGGGAUAGCCCUAGGCCAAGGUAUCCCUGAUAACCGAGUAUGAGAAUGAUUUUGGCACGAGCCAAAGUUUUAAGAAAUUCAUAAGCCAUGUUGAUUACUCGAUUUAUAUGAAUUGAUUUUAUUUGGUUGAAAUUAGUUGAAAGCUGAUGAAUUACAGUAUGUUGAACUAUUUUAUUUGUCUUCAUUUACUCAGCUUUAGAUAUUUUAGAUGGUAUUUGUUUACUCACUGGGAUUAUAUAAUCUCACCACCCUCCUUUCCACCCAUUUCAGGUUCAAGAUAGUCGGUAGAUAGCUCACUUUGUUGAGGGCUACAGUUGAACUUGCAUCCUUAAAAACUGUAGGUUUACCGCUUUAGAUACUUUUGGUCGUUCGUGGGCCCACGUGUCACUGUAAAUUAAAUUUUAUACUUUGGUUAUCUGUAUUACAGUAUGUAUGAAUUUAUUUAGCUUUUACGCUACAAAAAUUAUUUACCGGUAACUCUAUAAAUAUUGUUUUAUAAGAAAAUAUAAUAUUUUAUUGAAUAUUUUUAUUAUAUUCAAAUA
Molecule: long non-coding RNA, 747 nt
Filed under: Theobroma cacao (cacao)
Lineage: Eukaryota; Viridiplantae; Streptophyta; Magnoliopsida; Malvales; Malvaceae
Description: long non-coding RNA (TCAC_LNC000381)
Source: RNAcentral